Molecule: ribosomal RNA, 442 nt
Filed under: uncultured bacterium
Lineage: Bacteria
Description: partial 16S ribosomal RNA
Rfam family: Bacterial small subunit ribosomal RNA
Source: RNAcentral
CCUACGGUGAGCAGCAGUGGGGAAUAUUGGGCAAUGGGCGCAAGCCUGACCCAGCAACGCCGCGUGAAGGAAGAAGGCUUUCGGGUUGUAAACUUCUUUUGUCAGGGAAGAGUAGAAGACGGUACCUGACGAAUAAGCCACGGCUAACUACGUGCCAGCAGCCGCGGUAAUACGUAGGUGGCAAGCGUUGUCCGGAUUUACUGGGGGUAAAGGGCGUGUAGCCGGGUUGACAAGUCAGAUGUGAAAUCCUGCGGCUCAACCUAUGGCCUGCAUUUGAAACUGUAGUUCUUGAGUACUGGAGAGGCAGACGGAAUUCCUAGUGUAGCGGUGAAAUGCGUAGAUAUUAGGAGGAACACCAGUGGCGAAGGCGGUCUGCUGGACAGCAACUGACGCUGAGGCACGAAGGCCAGGGGAGCGAAAGGGAUUAGAUACCCCUGUAGUC